AUGACGGUACCCAAAGAAUAAGCACCGGCUAACUUCGUGCCAGCAGCCGCGGUAAUACGAAGGGUGCAAGCGUUACUCGGAAUUACUGGGCGUAAAGCGUGCGUAGGUGGUCGUUUAAGUCCGUUGUGAAAGCCCUGGGCUCAACCUGGGAACUGCAGUGGAUACUGGGCGACUAGAAUGUGGUAGAGGGUAGCGGAAUUCCUGGUGUAGCAGUGAAAUGCGUAGAGAUCAGGAGGAACAUCCAUGGCGAAGGCAGCUACCUGGACCAACAUUGACACUGAGGCACGAAAGCGUGGGGAGCAAACAGGAUUAGAUACCCUGGUAGUCCACGCCCUAAACGAUG
This 343-nucleotide ribosomal RNA is filed under the name Stenotrophomonas maltophilia. Its description in RNAcentral is "bacterial SSU rRNA". It matches the Rfam family "Bacterial small subunit ribosomal RNA", at positions 469 to 811 of the family's 1533-position model. Lineage: Bacteria; Pseudomonadati; Pseudomonadota; Gammaproteobacteria; Lysobacterales; Lysobacteraceae. The record is from RNAcentral.